GUAAAGAAUCUUUCGCAAUGGGGGCAACCCUGACGAAGCAAUACCGCGUGAACGAUGAAGGUCGAAAGAUUGUAAAGUUCUUUUCUGAGGGAAGAAUUCUGACGGUACCUCAGGAAUAAGCACCGGCUAACUCCGUGCCAGCAGCCGCGGUAAUACGGAGGGUGCAAGCGUUAUCCGGAAUCAUUGGGCGUAAAGCGUCCGCAGGCUGUUUAUUAAGUCGAAUAUUAAAUCUUGAAGCCCAACUUCAAGGCCGUGUUCGAAACUGGUAAACUAGAGUCUCUCAAAGGUGCGUAGAAUUCUGUGUGUAGGGGUAAAAUCCGUAGAUACACAGAGGAAUACCAAAAGCGAAGGCAUCGCACUGGGAGAGUACUGACGCUCAUGGACGAAAGCGUGGGGAGCGAACGGGAUUAGAAACCCGAGUAGUCC
This 426-nucleotide ribosomal RNA is filed under the name uncultured bacterium. Its description in RNAcentral is "bacterial SSU rRNA". It matches the Rfam family "Bacterial small subunit ribosomal RNA", at positions 354 to 796 of the family's 1533-position model. The record is from RNAcentral.